This 274-nucleotide ribosomal RNA is filed under the name uncultured bacterium. RNAcentral describes it as "partial 16S ribosomal RNA". It matches the Rfam family "Bacterial small subunit ribosomal RNA", at positions 523 to 796 of the family's 1533-position model. The record is from RNAcentral.
AUACGGAGGGGACUAGCGUUGUUCGGAAUUACUGGGCGUAAAGCGCGCGUAGGCGGUCUGUUAUGUCAGAUGUGAAAGUCCUCGGCUCAACCGGGGAAGUGCAUUUGAAACUGGCAGACUUGAGUACUGGAGGGGGUGGUGGAAUUCCCGGUGUAGGGGUGAAAUUCGUAGAUAUCGGGAGGAAUACCGGUGGCGAAGGCGACCACCUGGCCAGAUACUGACGCUGAGGUGCGAAAGCGUGGGGAGCAAACAGGAUUAGAAACCCCAGUAGUCC